CCUACGGGAGGCAGCAGUGGGGAAUAUUGCUCAAUGGGCGAAAGCCUGACGCAGCGACGCCGCGUGAGGGAUGAAGGUCUUCGGAUCGUAAACCUCUGUCAGCAGGGAAGAACAGUCACUGUGCUAAUCAGCAGUGAAUUGACGGUACCUUCAAAGGAAGCACCGGCUAACUCCGUGCCAGCCGCCGCUGUAAUACGGAGGGUGCGAGCGUUAAUCGGAAUUACUGGGCGUAAAGCGCUCGUAGGCGGUAUGUCAAGUCAAGGGUGAAAGCCCGGCGCUCAACGUGGGAACUGCCUUUGAAACGGGGAAACUGGAGUGUGGGAGAGGAUAGUGGAAUUCCUGGUGUAGGAGUGAAAUCCGUAGAUAUCAGGAGGAACAUCAGUGGCGAAGGCGACUAACUGGAACAUAACUGACGCUGAGGAGCGAAAGCGUGGGUAGCAAACAGGAUUAGAUACCCUUGUAGUC
This 465-nucleotide ribosomal RNA is filed under the name uncultured bacterium. RNAcentral describes it as "partial 16S ribosomal RNA". It matches the Rfam family "Bacterial small subunit ribosomal RNA", at positions 338 to 795 of the family's 1533-position model. The record is from RNAcentral.